Molecule: long non-coding RNA, 1298 nt
Organism: Cryptomeria japonica (Japanese cedar)
Lineage: Eukaryota; Viridiplantae; Streptophyta; Pinopsida; Cupressales; Cupressaceae
Exons: 10
Source: RefSeq, a predicted model, not a curated record
CAAAAGUUCAAUAAUGGUUUAUAUUUUAUUCUCUUUUAUGUCAUUAACUAAAAUACGUACGUGUUGUUUUUACAACAAUUUAUGCGCCCUCAUAAAAGUGGUGGCCAUGAUCAGGGUGUUGCAGGUACUUUAGGUGAUGACGAUUUUCUUGGAUUAUCACUUUGAAUACCCAAAACACAUCAUACUUGAUACUGUCAAUGUUCAUAAUAAAGAGGUUAGCCCCACUUGUAUUGCCGAUUGCAAUGUCGGCAACACGUAGCAUGCAGACAUCCUCUACUACGCGUCAUAUUGGCCUACCCACUAUUGGAGGAGAUGCACAUGAGGAUGCCUCAGAGGCGACUACUACUGAUAACAUACCAUCAUUUCCUGGAUCUUCAUGUAUUGAUAGUAUGGGAAUGUUGCAGGCCACAUUGGUGGAAAUGAUAUUUUUUAUAAACAUCUUAGUGACAUUGCAUUGCAGAUAUUUGGGCCCACCAUACGUAAAAGGUGGAAUGACCAAGAAAAAAGGUUAAAAGAUGAAUUGACAAGCCAAAUGGUUGAGUGGUUUGGAAAUGACACCUUUGACAAAACCAAGCUCCUUGAAAAAGUUGGCACAUAUCUAAAGUAUGUGAGGGACCAAUACAGGACCCAUUUAGAGAAGAACUUGAAAUACGAGCGCCCCCCCAUGAUUCCAGAGAGGGAACGGAAGGACCUGAUUUUAGAUGUCAAUGAGAGAAUUGAAAGGAAAAAAAGGAAAUACACCACUAGACGCCAAAAAGAAGACUGAGUGACACGUCAAAGGCAACCAAGGAAAGACAAGAAAAGCACGGGCAACACAAACUCGGCUCUGGUGGUUAUAUGAAACUUGCUGCACGAAUUGGCUCUAAAUUCAAUAGAGCGCCCACAGAAGAUGACAAGAGAAUUGCCUACCAGCAAGGCUAUAUAGUCGUGGUUGAUCGGUUACGAGAAUUGAGUGGUCAUACACAAUAUUCGAGUGCAUCCGUCACACAGAGCAUGUAGUCAGUGGUGACCAAGUGGAGCAUGAUCUGGGUACAUAACCUCAGGAACGUGAUGUUCCCCAAUCAGAUGAUCUAGAGGGUGUUCAACAUGUUGAGGUUGAGGCUAGACAAAAUGAUGUGGCCCCAUUAGAUGACCCCCCUUCGCUUCAGUGUCCUCGUCCUCGGUAUAGAACAAGGAAUACGUCGAGAUCACGAACAGAGGGCAAAACAACUGCAGAGGGGAGAAAUGAUGAAGAAACCAAUGUUCCACUUAGUCUUUUCAUAGCUUCAAAGAAAAAACAAAAAAAGAAAUGAUUGUAA